This 281-nucleotide unclassified non-coding RNA is filed under the name Hevea brasiliensis (rubber tree). Lineage: Eukaryota; Viridiplantae; Streptophyta; Magnoliopsida; Malpighiales; Euphorbiaceae. The record is from RNAcentral.
AUGCCGCUGACGUCGGAAAAAGUGUGGCGCGCGAUUCAGGACGCCCGCAAGGCGAAGUCGGCGUAAGAGGGUCUUUGUAAAACUUUCGCGAACCCUCGACAGCAACACUGUCAUGCCCGGACUUGUUCCGGGCAUCCNCGAUUGUCGAAGCACAAUGCUCAAUUCAUCGGGAUCACCGGGACAUAGGCGAGCGAAGCGACGCCGUCCUUCAGACGGUAUGCCCGGUAAUGACAACUGUGGGUGAUGAGGCUCUGAACGGCGCACACUGUCGCAUCACACCC